This 393-nucleotide ribosomal RNA is filed under the name uncultured bacterium. RNAcentral's name for it is "partial 16S ribosomal RNA". It matches the Rfam family "Bacterial small subunit ribosomal RNA", at positions 523 to 918 of the family's 1533-position model. The record is from RNAcentral.
AUACGGAGGAUGCAAGCGUUAUCCGGAUUUAUUGGGUUUAAAGGGUGCGUAGGCGGUUUGCUAAGCGGGAGGUGAAAUGCCGGCGCUCAACGUCGGAAGUGCCUCCCGAACUGGUGGACUUGAAUGACUCUGCCGUGGGAGGAAUGUGUAGUGUAGCGGUGAAAUGCUUAGAGAUUACACAGAACACCGAUUGCGAAGGCAUCUCACGAAGGGUUGAUUGACGCUGAGGCACGAAAGCGUGGGGAUCAAACGGGAUUAGAUACCCUGGUAGUCCACGCAGUAAACGAUGAUGGCUAACCGCUGGGCUUAUCAGUUCAGUGGCCAAGCGAAAGCGAUAAGCCAUCCACCUGGGGAGUACGACCGCAAGGUUGAAACUCAAAGGAAUUGACGGGG